AACGAACGCUGGCGGCAGGCCUAACACAUGCAAGUCGCGCGACAAGGUGUCUUCGGAUGCUGGAGGAGCGGCGCACGGGUGAGUAACACGUGGGAACGUACCCCGAGGUUCGGGACAACCACUGGAAACGGUGGCUAAUACCGGAUGUGCCCCAUUCUUAUGGAUGGGGGAAAGAUUUAUCGCCUUGGGAUCGGCCCGCGUUGGAUUAGGUAGUUGGAGUGGUAACGGCGCCCCAAGCCUACGAUCCAUAGCUGGUCUGAGAGGAUGAUCAGCCACACUGGGACUGAGACACGGCCCAG
RNAcentral lists this ribosomal RNA (299 nucleotides) under uncultured bacterium. Its description in RNAcentral is "partial 16S ribosomal RNA". It matches the Rfam family "Bacterial small subunit ribosomal RNA", at positions 29 to 334 of the family's 1533-position model. The record is from RNAcentral.